This 253-nucleotide ribosomal RNA is filed under the name uncultured bacterium. RNAcentral's name for it is "partial 16S ribosomal RNA". It matches the Rfam family "Bacterial small subunit ribosomal RNA", at positions 524 to 776 of the family's 1533-position model. The record is from RNAcentral.
UACGGGGGGGGCAAGCGUUGUUCGGAAUUACUGGGCGUAAAGGGCUCGUAGGCGGCCAACUAAGUCAGACGUGAAAUCCCUCGGCUUAACCGGGGAACUGCGUCUGAUACUGGAUGGCUUGAGUUUGGGAGAGGGAUGCGGAAUUCCAGGUGUAGCGGUGAAAUGCUUAGAUAUCGUCAAGAACACCUAUAGCGAAGGCAGCUUACUAGGCUGUAACUGACGCUGAGGCACGAAAGUGUGGGGAUCAAACAGG